UUUCCGUAGGUGAACCUGCGGAAGGAUCAUUAAAGUUAUAGUCCCCUGGCCCUCUGGGCUGGGGUCUUCUAUACCACCCUUUGUUUAUUACACCUUUGUUGCUUUGGCAGGCCUGCCCUCGGGCUGCUGGCUCCGGCCGGCUCGCGUCUGCAGAGGACCUAAACUCUGUUUGUAUAUGAAGUCUGAGUACUAUAUAAUAGUUAAAACUUUCAACAACGGAUCUCUUGGUUCUG
RNAcentral lists this unclassified non-coding RNA (233 nucleotides) under plant metagenome. Its description in RNAcentral is "partial contains small subunit ribosomal RNA, internal transcribed spacer 1, and 5.8S ribosomal RNA". The record is from RNAcentral.